CUGCUUGGUGUCCUUUGAAAUUCCUCCAUCUGUGGUUUGAUGUCUGACAUCAAAUAGGGUAAAUUUUUAGUGAUUAUUGUUUCAAAUAUUACUUCUGUUCCUUUCUCCCUUCUCCUCCUGGUAUUCCCAUUAUGCAUAUGUUAUACCUUUUUAUAGUUGUCCCACAGUUCAUUGAUAUUCUGGGGUAUUCUCAGUCUCUGUCUCUGUCUCUCUCUCUCUCUCUCAGGGAGCUUUGCUUUUUAGUUUUUAAAGUUUCUAUUGAGAUAUCCUCAAGAUAUUCUCAGUCAUUUCUCACCUACUAAGAAGCCUGCCAAAGGCAUUCUUCAUUUCUGUUACAGUGUUCUUGAUCUCUAACAUUUCUUUUUUAUUCUUUCUUAGAAUUUUCAUCACCCUGCUUACAUUGCCCCCUAAGUUCUUGCAGAUUGUUACUUUAUCUGUUAAAUCCCAUUACUAUUAAUCACAAUUGCUUUAAAUUUGUAGUCCUAUAAUUCCAACAUCCUUGCCUUAUUUGAGUCUGACUCUGAUGCUUGCUGUUUCUUUAAAAUGUGCCUUUUGUUUUGUUUCUUACCUUUUAUUAUGUGUUAUAAUCUUUUCCUGAUAUCCAGACAUGAAUAACUGGGUAAAAUAAAUGGAUAUAAAUAGGCCUUUAGUAAUGUGGUGGUAAGGUGUGGGGGAGGGGAGCAUUCUAUAGUCUUCUUCUUAUGUUUCAGUCUUUAGUGAGCCUUUGUGUCUGGACGGUGAACUUCACCUGCUUCUCAAUUUCCUUUCCUCCCCUUCUGUGGGACAGGAUGGCUAGAGCUGGAUGGAGCUGGUUAUUUCUCUUAGCUAGGGUCACUUAGACUUGGAUACAACUCCAGAAGGUUAGGCUUUGAUUAACUAGUUUCUUCUUGUUAAGAACUGAAUGCUCUGAGGUAUUUCUAAAUGGUUCAUUUUCCCCUCACCCUGCCAGAAGCAUGAGGUGUUUCUCUGAUAUUCACUGUGAAGACCUGGCAGAGCUCUGUGAGGUUCCAGAUUCUGCAUUUUUACAUCCUGGAAAUGAUGUGGAGAAAACAUUAUUUGAAAUAUGUCUUGCACAUGGCACUCAGCGUGUUUGUCUAGGACAGCGUGUGGCAGCUCAAUCCUCCUGCAAUACCUCAAACUGCACAACUAAAUAG
RNAcentral lists this long non-coding RNA (1154 nucleotides) under Papio anubis (olive baboon). RNAcentral's name for it is "lncRNA (ENSPANG00000044885.1)". The record is from RNAcentral. Lineage: Eukaryota; Metazoa; Chordata; Mammalia; Primates; Cercopithecidae.